Puma concolor (puma) is the source of this 883-nucleotide long non-coding RNA. RefSeq lists it as uncharacterized. The record is from RefSeq and is a predicted model, not a curated record. NCBI's taxonomy places the organism in Eukaryota, Metazoa, Chordata, Mammalia, Carnivora, Felidae.
GCUGGUGAGCAAAACGAAAGCCCUAGCAGACCAGGAAUAAAAGGGUGGUGCACAGUCUGGUCCUGGGUAGCCAGCUGGAUUUUAGAAGGAAGGAGUGGAUGACAUCAAUGGCGAGAAAAACGGGUGGGAUUCCACGGCAAAAGAGUUCAGCAGAGCCAACCCUUCGCGCGGGCAAGAUUAUGAAAGGUGAAAUUUCAGUUGCACCAUCACGAAAGAUCCCCAAGAAGAAAACGAGAGGGAGGCAUCUGAGGAAGGCCACACGGGCACCAAGUGGCCACCUACCAGAGCCUGGACACUGCACAGACAGUUUUUCCAGGAGCCUUAUAAUGAAAUGAAAGAAAUCAGAGUCUUAUAUCCAGAAGGGAAUCUUGUUUGAGUGACUCACGUUAUGACCAAGGAAAAUAAAGCCAACGACAGAGGUUUACAACUCCUUUAUCCCACUUUCAAGUAGCAACAAUUCUUCAGUGAAACCCACCGUGAACACCUCCUCUCGAAGCCAAAGACGACGCUCCCAUCCAGCCCUUCUGGGAUUUAAUGGAUUAUCUCCAACUCUUUUAUGGGAGACACAGGACCUCAGGGUCCUUUCAUCUGAAGCUCCUAAAGAUUUGAGCCACAUCUGUCUCUACUUAUUCCGAUAUUGUUUUGAAUUCGUCUUCUCUUGGAAGACACAUGACACUUGCACAGGGACAUCUGGGGACUCGUCACAAUCCCUGGGACAGUCCUGGGCACAGGGGAGCUCUGGCAGCCCUUCUUGUCUGCUUGUAACUGGAGCAAGGGAGGAAAUGAAAAUAAAUGCACGGUCUCCCUCUGGUUGUAAUUAUUAAUGGUCAAUUUGCUAAAAUGGUAUCUGUUUAGAUGACUAAUAAUCACGGCUCUAUUAUUU